GACGAACGCUGGCGGCGUGCUUAACACAUGCAAGUCGAACGGAAAGGCCCUGCUUUUGUGGGGUGCUCGAGUGGCGAACGGGUGAGUAACACGUGAGUAACCUGCCCUUGACUUUGGGAUAACUUCAGGAAACUGGGGCUAAUACCGGAUAGGAGCUCCUGCUGCAUGGUGGGGGUUGGAAAGUUUCGGCGGUUGGGGAUGGACUCGCGGCUUAUCAGCUUGUUGGUGGGGUAGUGGCUUACCAAGGCUUUGACGGGUAGCCGGCCUGAGAGGGUGACCGGCCAGAUUGGGACUGAGAUACGGCCCAGACUCCUACGGGAGGCAGCAGUGGGGAAUAUUGCACAAUGGGCGGAAGCCUGAUGCAGCAACGCCGCGUGCGGGAUAACGGCCUUCGGGUUGUAAACCGCUUUCGCCUGUGACGAAGCGUGAGUGACGGUAAUGGGUAAAGAAGCACCGGCUAACUACGUG
Molecule: ribosomal RNA, 468 nt
Filed under: uncultured bacterium
Lineage: Bacteria
Description: partial 16S ribosomal RNA
Rfam family: Bacterial small subunit ribosomal RNA
Source: RNAcentral